RNAcentral lists this ribosomal RNA (249 nucleotides) under uncultured Sphingobacteriales bacterium. Its description in RNAcentral is "partial 16S ribosomal RNA". It matches the Rfam family "Bacterial small subunit ribosomal RNA", at positions 355 to 601 of the family's 1533-position model. Lineage: Bacteria; Pseudomonadati; Bacteroidota; Sphingobacteriia; Sphingobacteriales. The record is from RNAcentral.
UAGGGAAUAUUGGUCAAUGGACGCAAGUCUGAACCAGCCAUGCCGCGUGAAGGAUGAAGGCCCUCUGGGUCGUAAACUUCUUUUAUUAGGGAAGAAAACAUGGGAUGCGUCCCAAACUGACGGUACUUAAUGAAUAAGGAUCGGCUAACUUCGUGCCAGCAGCCGCGGUAAGACGAAGGAUCCAAGCGUUGUCCGGAUUUACUGGGUUUAAAGGGUGCGUAGGCGGAAAAUUAAGUCAGUGGUGGAAGC